This is a non-coding RNA of Prinia subflava (tawny-flanked prinia), 1509 nucleotides long. Lineage: Eukaryota; Metazoa; Chordata; Aves; Passeriformes; Cisticolidae. The record is from the annotation of a RefSeq genome assembly.
GUGGCCUCAGCAGUGCCGAAGAGAGGAGAGGCAUCACCUCCCUCAGGUGCUGGCAGCCUUUGGCCUGAGGCAGGCGCGGACGGCAGUGACCUUCUGUGCUCCGAGGGCCAAUUUCUGGGCGCGCUGGCCACGAAGCGCUCGGGCCCGUGUGGCAGAAGGCGCUCCCGAAGCGCCAUCAGAGCAGCGCCGCUCUGUGCGCGGGCCCGGCCGCGGCCGGCGCUGCCCGUGCCCGGCGGGGCCGCGGGCCCGGGCCCGGGGCGGGAGUGUCGGGGCGGGCAGAGGCGGCGGCGCUGCCCCGGCGAGGCGGGGCCGGGCGGGAGCGGCCCGAGCGCGGCCCCGCUCGGCUCCUGUGCGGCUGCCGCGGAGCCGGGGCCGGGCACGAUGGCGGCAGGGCCGGGGCCGUGGCUGCUGGCCUUGGCCUUGGCCGUGUGGCCCGCAGGGCUCCGGGCACAGCUGAGGCUGCAGGAGGCCGGCGGAGGGCUGCGAGCGGCCGGGGACUCCGUCACCCUGUCCUGCCACGGGUCCGUAUUCCCCUUUGAUAGAUAUGAUAUUUGGUGGUACCGUCAGGCUCCCGGAGGCAGCCUGGAGUGGGUGUCCUUUAUCAGCACUUCUUCCUCUGUCAAGCAAAGUGCACGAGCGAUGGAGGGUCGAGCCUUGGUGUCCAGAGACAAUUCCCGGUCCAAGUCAUGGUUGGCCCUGCGGGCCCUGGGCCCCCAGGACUCUGCCCGGUACUUCUGUGGCGCUCCACACGGAGACAGGAAAUCCAGCUGUGCUUUAACACAAACCUGCUGGGGCCUGGAGCAGGGUCUGUGAGAUUUGGAGAUGGACAGUUCUGGGGUAGCUCAGGGCUGUUCCCAAGGAAUCCAGGCCAUCACUGUGCACUGCGGCUGGUUCUGGCCAUCUUUCAGAGCUCCUUUCACCACAACGGCAUAUGGCCUCUCCGAAAUCCCAAGCACAGUGGUUUAUUCUGUCGAGGUGGUUCCAAGGGCUUCUCUCAUUCUCCACCCUGGUCAUUCUUCCUGGCUCCGGCUGCUCUCUGCCUUCUCUUGAUUUCCUUCUAAUUGGGGCACUUGAAGUUCCUCAGCAUUCAGAACCCCUUUGCCAGCUUCAUUAACCCUUGUGGGAGCCAUCUCCUUGCACCACUGAGAGCAAAGCAGUGAUGCAGUGGGCCUGAUUUUCAUUCAGGUGCAUGUCAAGGUGUUGAGAUCCAAGCAAGAAGCUCUGCAGUGUGGUGGCCAGCAGGGAACACUGGGACCCUCCAUUGCACUUACAGCCUCCUGUAUUUACGUGGCCUGGCAUCUGCAGCAUCCUGGUGAGCCCCUGCAGUAGCUGCUGCAGUGCCAGGGCCAUGGAGGCUCCUACAGCCACACAGCCCCUUCUGCCCAUAGGAGCUUUUCCUGCCAGGCUGACCACAGCUCUGGGACUCUGACCCUCUGCAGGCUGGAGCUGGGGGACAGUGCACUCAAUUACUGCACCCUGGAGGGACCACAGCGAGAGACACUUGGGGUG